Molecule: ribosomal RNA, 261 nt
Filed under: Triticum aestivum (bread wheat)
Lineage: Eukaryota; Viridiplantae; Streptophyta; Magnoliopsida; Poales; Poaceae
Description: partial small subunit ribosomal RNA
Source: RNAcentral
AUGGCAACAUUCCACAAAUUCCAUCAUCUGGCUGGUCAGAACUUCGCAGAGAUCAAGACCGCGCUCAUCAGCCUGCUACCUAAGAAGAACGAAGCAAGUCAACUGGAUCACUAUAGACCGAUCAGCCUCAUUCACUCUGUGGCAAAGCUCAUUUCCAAAGUCCUCUCCAUCAGGCUGGCUAGCGUUCUUAGAAACGUCAUCUCCCUGGUGCAAUCUGCAUUUCAGAAGGGCAAAUGUAUUCAUGAUAGCUAUCUAUACGUG